RNAcentral lists this ribosomal RNA (459 nucleotides) under uncultured bacterium. Its description in RNAcentral is "partial 16S ribosomal RNA". It matches the Rfam family "Bacterial small subunit ribosomal RNA", at positions 338 to 795 of the family's 1533-position model. The record is from RNAcentral.
CCUACGGGAGGCAGCAGUGAGGAAUAUUGGUCAAUGGGAGAGAUCCUGAACCAGCCAAGCCGCGUGAGGGAAGACGGCCCUAUGGGUGGUAAACCUCUUUUGUCGGAGAACAAAACCCGGGACGUGUCCCGGACUGCGUGUAUGCGAAGAAAAAGCAUCGGCUAACUCAGUGCCAGCAGCCGCGGUAAUACGGAGGAUGCGCGCGUUAUCCGGAUUUAUUGUGUUAAAAGGGUGCGUAGGCGGUCCGUUAAGUCAGCGGGAAAAUUGAGGGGCUCAACCCCUUCGAGCCGUUGAAACUGGCAGACUUGAGUUGGCGAGAAGUACGCGGAAUGCGCGGUGUAGCGGUGAAAUGCAUAGAUAUCGCGCAGAACUCCGAUUGCGAAGGCAGCGUACCGGCGCCAGACUGACGCUGAGGCACGAAAGCGUGGGGAUCGAACAGGAUUAGAUACCCUUGUAGUC